CCUGGGUUCCGGAAAGAGGAUGAGGUGGGGGCGGAGAGGCCAGAGCACGCGAGCCGAGGAGCCAAAAGCUGGGUCCCCGAGAGCAAAACCUCGAGACCACUUGGCUUUCCCACCUCACUCCAGCCUCUAGGGCCUGCGACAUGUACAGAAGCUCUUGAUCUGAAACAGAGGCGGGUACCGGAGCCCAUCAGCCUUGGUUCUCAGGGAAAGCACCUCUGUCCCAUAGGGACCCCGCAGUCGACUGGGAGAAGAAAGUGAAAGGAAAACCUCUCACCUGAAAGACUUGAGAAGUCCGCCUGGUUAGGCCUAAACAUAUCCGUCAUUCCCAAGUUCUCCAGGGGCCUCCUGAGGUCAACUUCACUCUCCAGGGAGAACCUGCAGACGUGGAGCAGGAAACAGCUCAAGCUCAGGCCACCUCUAGCCUCUGUGCCCAUCAGAUCCCCAUUGCCGCCUCCUCCUGACCUCUGAGAGUCCCGCCUGAUUAGGAAAAGCACCCAAGGAGACCCACCACCACCAGAGGGGUCCCCUUGCCUUUUUUGCUAAGUACAGCCAAGCCUCUGGAUUCGCAUCCACGAUUCGAUCAACCAGUCAUAUCUGCAGUUGGUUGAAUCCCCUUAGGCAGAGUCCGCAGUGCUUCAGUCUCCCUAGAGAGACGCUGUGAGUCUGAAUAAGAUGCUUCUGCUGAAAAAGGCAGAUGUGGCCUGGGGACCAGCGGGAGACUCUAGCAACUUCUUUUGAGACAAGCUGAGACCUAAACCUGGGACUCUUUGCACCUGACAAAAGUCUCCUAGAGCAGCAAAAUACAAAGAAACUCUAAGGGACUAAAAAUAACUGUGUGCAUGCACAGUUGGGGCAAAUUAUGGACAAUAAAAUACAAAGAGACCAAAAA
Long non-coding RNA from Sus scrofa (pig), 889 nucleotides. RefSeq lists it as uncharacterized. Lineage: Eukaryota; Metazoa; Chordata; Mammalia; Artiodactyla; Suidae. The record is from RefSeq and is a predicted model, not a curated record.